AUCCUAGUGAUGACAUGUGGCUACAAAAAGAAAUUGUAAUGUUUUACAAAUAAUAUAUAGGGGAUAAUACAUGACCUACUUCUCUUUCUAAUGUGUACUGUAUGAGUGCAAGUCAUUAGAAUUGUUAGCAUGUGAUUCAUGAGGAGCAAACAUGUCAUUGAGCGUAUAGUAGCAAGAUUUUAGGUUCAAUUAUGUGAGCUAAAACAACCCUGUCAUAUUGGCUUCGGUUGAAGAUUUUAGAAGAUGUCUCAUGUGGCUACGUGUAGUAGCAAGAUUUUAGAAGAUGCAUCUUUAGUUUUAGGUACGGAUUAAGUUUUAGGAAAGGAGGUUCGUAAGGACCAACAUUAUAUUUUUAAACUAUAGUUUACAUAAGUUGCUUUAGAAUUCUUUUAAAUAAAAUGUAGAUGACAUACACAACUGCGGACUGCCACAUAUGAUGAGUUUUUUUUUUAAUUUUUACAAAAUUAAAGUUAUAACUAUUUAAAAGAUCCUCAAUUAAUAAUCAGAUCUAGUUAAACACAUAUGGGCAAAAUUUGGAAUGUUUCAUGGUUAAUUUUUUUUUAAAUAUGUAUGUGAUUUAAGAGUUUUAAUGUAUUUUCAUUUUGUGUGCUUUGUAUCGUGUGUUUAAAAUUUCUUAAUAAUAUGUGUUUGUAUUGUGUGUAUUUAAAGUUUCCUAAUUUUAGUUGUUUUAAUAAUAAUAAGUUUCGUAUUUUUGAAAAUAAAAUUUUGAAAAUAUCUUACUUAAAAAAAUAAAUAUGUUUUUAAGUUUGAUUGUUUUAUUAAUGCCGAUUUUGGUAUUAUUUAAAAAUUAAGCUAAGUAUAAUAAUUCAAAAUAAAUAUUAUUAAAAGUUUUGUUAUUUUAGUUUUAAGUUAAUUGUAAAAAACAAAAAUAUGAAUUAAAAGUUGUGGGGUAGGGUGUUGAAUUUUUUAAACAAACUAUUGUACAUGUGUAGAUUGAAGUGAGUGUUGAAUAAAUGAGGUGGAAGAGAAAGAAGAUGAUGUGAAGUGUUAAAAAGAGAAAAAUAGGGUAUUGAAUAUGGGGAGGGUGUUGAAACCAUUGUACAUGGUCUUAAAUGUGAACAAAACACGAUGGGCCAUAUCAUUUUUGUUAACGACGAAAAGAGAAGAAUGAAGAGCUGCGAGGUGUCACAAUUUGCCCUCCUCUUCCUAUUGAUGUGGAAGGCUGAGAAAAAAUACAACUCUAUUUUAUUGUAAUAGAAGAUAGAUAUUAAAAAUAUUGUAUUGACAAAUUUAAGAUUUAUAUAUGAUUGAAUUUUUCUUAUAUGUAUACAAUUUUUGAUUGUUUAUAUAAUCAUCUAUAUGUUGCACCGAUAUAUUUGGAUAUUUUCUUUUACUAACUU
Molecule: long non-coding RNA, 1361 nt
Filed under: Brassica napus (rape)
Lineage: Eukaryota; Viridiplantae; Streptophyta; Magnoliopsida; Brassicales; Brassicaceae
Description: long non-coding RNA (BNAP_LNC017396)
Source: RNAcentral